GGCGCCCUUGGGGGUCUACCCAGCGAAAGCUUCUGGGGUUGGGUUAUACGGCGGGUCAGGCCUUCAAAUUGCAGGCUUUCCAGCUUUGGGCAGGUUUUUAGCUCUCGUGACCAAGCUAAAUUCCCUGGACUUAGGCUCUGCAAUAUAUACACCGUCUUCCUCGAGCACCAUCUUUGGCGCCAUGCUGCCCGCGCAUUCCUGUAUUCACUCCCAUUUUAUUUUCGUGGGAAACAGACCGGGAAAGCAAUGCAGUCUCACAAGAUCUCUUGAACCUCAACUUCAGCGCUCUUUGAAUGCUGUGUAGUCAUUUUCCCCUUGUCGAAGUCCUCAAAGUUAGCGAAAAGUUCUCAUCCAGUUUCUGGAGGAUGGAAGCCUCAUUCAGGCUGGAGUCUGGCUCUUCCGGCCUUUUACCUAGGAUCCUGGUUAAGGGCUAAGCUAGUACUUCAGCUAGCAACAGCCAGUUGGGUUUUUGCAAAGCUGAGCGAGUUCAGUUCACAGGAGGAGUCUUUAAAUUGUAAUGGUAACUGAAAAAUAGUUGUCAAUGUUGCCAUUUCCUUGUGAAACCUAUUGGUAAAUCAGGUACCCCUUUGAUAUGUAUGUGAAUCUUUUUAAAAGCUAAGAAGUAUGUUGCCAGCUUUAGGACCUAGGAAUGUUUUUCUUAAAGGCCUGGAAGUUACCUCUUUGAAAUGUAAACCGUUAAGGAAGAUAUUGCCCUAUCUUGCUGUCACUGGAAAUUUUGCUUCCUUGCUUAGCUCCAAGCUGUAAUCUCCUUGUCACAGAGAAGUUUUAUUUUUCUUUCAAAUAAAGAUAAUUAGCACAGGUAGCUACCCCCAAUUACCAGGUGAAUUUGGUAUCAACUGUGGAAAAAGGAUAUAUAGUAAACAACGUUGUAAAAUUGAAACUGCACAACUCUGAUUGGGACUUGAGCGAACGGCUGGAACUUGAACCCAGCCAAAACCCAGACUGGGACUUGAAUUCAUGGUCUUUUAAUUAGAAUCACUCACCUGGUGUCAGGACUUAUUGAGGCCCAGGUCCUUUGUGUCUCAGUACAGAAGGAAAUCAGAGAGAGGCAAAGUGAUAGGCAAGAAAGCAAUUUAUGAACAUAGGACACUUGCGAGGGAUAUAAGCAGGCAGGCAAGGGGGC
RNAcentral lists this long non-coding RNA (1144 nucleotides) under Sus scrofa (pig). RNAcentral's name for it is "lncRNA (ENSSSCG00060003452.1)". Lineage: Eukaryota; Metazoa; Chordata; Mammalia; Artiodactyla; Suidae. The record is from RNAcentral.